UAGGCAGAAGCCUGGUGGUUUGGGCAUGCAGCUGUUAACUGUAGAGUCAUGGGAUCGAGGCCCAUCUGUCUAG
RNAcentral lists this transfer RNA (73 nucleotides) under Campylorhynchus zonatus (band-backed wren). Its description in RNAcentral is "tRNA-Asn". It matches the Rfam family "tRNA". Rfam says of the family: Transfer RNA (tRNA) molecules are approximately 80 nucleotides in length. Lineage: Eukaryota; Metazoa; Chordata; Aves; Passeriformes; Certhiidae. The record is from RNAcentral.